This 262-nucleotide ribosomal RNA is filed under the name uncultured bacterium. Its description in RNAcentral is "partial 16S ribosomal RNA". It matches the Rfam family "Bacterial small subunit ribosomal RNA", at positions 335 to 590 of the family's 1533-position model. The record is from RNAcentral.
AGCCUACGGGACGCAGCAGUAGGGAAUCUUCCACAAUGGACGAAAGUCUGAUGGAGCAACGCCGCGUGAGUGAAGAAGGGUUUCGGCUCGUAAAGCUCUGUUGUUAGAGAAGAAAGUGCGUGAGAGUAACUGUUCACGUUUCGACGGUAUCUAACCAGAAAGCCACGGCUAACUACGUGCCAGCAGCCGCGGUAAUACGUAGGUGGCAAGCGUUAUCCGGAUUUAUUGGGCGUUAAGGGAACGCAGGCGGGCUUUUAAGUCU